AUUGAACGCUGGCGGCAGGCCUAACACAUGCAAGUCGAACGGUAACAGGAAGCAGCUUGCUGCUUCGCUGACGAGUGGCGGACGGGUGAGUAAUGUCUGGGAAGCUGCCUGAUGGAGGGGGAUAACUACUGGAAACGGUAGCUAAUACCGCAUAAUGUCGCAAGACCAAAGAGGGGGACCUUCGGGCCUCUUGCCAUCGGAUGUGCCCAGAUGGGUUUAGCUUGUUUGUGGGGUAACGGCUCACCAAGGCGACGAACCCUAGCUGGUCUGAGAGGAUGACCAGCCACACUGGAACUGAAACACGGUCCAGACUCCUACGGGAGGCAGCAGUGGGGAAUAUUGCAGAAUAGACGCAAGCCUGAUGCAGCCAUGCCGCGUGUAUGAAGAAGGCCUUCGGGUUGUAAAGUACUUUCAGCGGGGAGGAAGGGAGUAAAGUUAAUACCUUUGCUCAUUGACGUUACCCGCAGAAGAAGCACCGGCUAACUCCGUG
Molecule: ribosomal RNA, 490 nt
Filed under: uncultured bacterium
Lineage: Bacteria
Description: partial 16S ribosomal RNA
Rfam family: Bacterial small subunit ribosomal RNA
Source: RNAcentral